Molecule: ribosomal RNA, 254 nt
Filed under: uncultured bacterium
Lineage: Bacteria
Description: partial 16S ribosomal RNA
Rfam family: Bacterial small subunit ribosomal RNA
Source: RNAcentral
UACGGGGGGAGCAAGCGUUGUUCGGAUUUACUGGGCGUAAAGGGCGCGUAGGCGGCCACCGCGAGUCGAUUGUGAAAUCUCCGGGCUUAACCCGGAAAGGUCAACCGAUACUGCGGGGCUAGAGUGCAGAAGGGGCAACUGGAAUUCUCGGUGUAGCGGUGAAAUGCGUAGAUAUCGAGAGGAACACCUGCGGCGAAGGCGGGUUGCUGGGCUGACACUGACGCUGAAGUGCGAAAGCUAGGGGAGCGAACGGG